This is a long non-coding RNA of Pygocentrus nattereri (red-bellied piranha), 370 nucleotides long. RefSeq lists it as uncharacterized. The transcript is spliced from 3 exons. The record is from RefSeq and is a predicted model, not a curated record. Lineage: Eukaryota; Metazoa; Chordata; Actinopteri; Characiformes; Serrasalmidae.
GCUGCUGAUUGUAGUGAUUGGAGAAUCAGCACUGAUCUACAAACUGAUCCACAACAGGACACGAGGGUCUGUAUCUACAAACACUGAGAGAAGAUCACAGAACAAAGCCAAUGGUGAUUAUGAAGAUCCUCUUGAAAAACAGAACAUCAGCAUGGGUCCAGUCUACCAGAGCCUGAACCCCAACACCAACCAAUCAGAUUCAGUCUACCAGAGCUUAAACUCCAACACCACCCAAUCAGAUUCAGUCUACCAGAGCCUAAACCCAAACACCAACCAAUCAGAUUCUGUCUACCAGAGCCUGGACCCCAAAACCAAAUAAAAAGAUUCAGUCUACCAGAGCUUAAUCCCCAACAUAAACCAAUCAGAUUCA